Molecule: transfer-messenger RNA, 370 nt
Filed under: Ruminococcus flavefaciens
Lineage: Bacteria; Bacillati; Bacillota; Clostridia; Eubacteriales; Oscillospiraceae
Also listed under: 1 other name
Rfam family: transfer-messenger RNA
About the family: Bacterial tmRNA, also known as 10Sa RNA or SsrA, is named for its dual tRNA and mRNA-like properties.
Source: RNAcentral
GGGGGCGUAAAGGUUUCGACGGGGGUUUUGAAGUGUGAUAAGCGAGCGGAGUACGGCGUGCUCUCCUUAAUCCGCGCCACGUUUAAAUAUAAACGCAAGAAAUAACAUUACAGUAACUAGAAAUAGUGCACUGGUAGCUGCUUAAGUCAGCUUCUGUCCACCGGAUGAGUACCACGGCUUCCGCUUGGGCAUCGAUCAGUGGUGAACGUUCCUGAGGAGCGUCCGUGCCUCAGGAAUGUAUACGGACUACCUUGGCUUCCAGCCCGUGUACCGGCGGCCUGCUAAGGGAAUCUCAAUAGGUGCAAUACGCUCGUAGAAAGUUGCAUGAAUGAACUUUCGGACAGGGGUUCAAUUCCCCUCGCCUCCACCA